CCAUUUUAUCCUUCCACUCUGCUUACUUUUGACGGAAUAGACUUCAUGUUACAUGUGCUGUCUCAUGCAUCCGAAUUGUUACAAUCAGGUUUGGCUUAUAAUAGUUUCUAAGUGGUGAGUUCGAACCUCAGUCAGACCCAAUUAAUUUUUCAAAACAAGAUAAUGCAAGAAAAUUCAUCGCUAUAAAAGCAAAACAGAUCUUUUGAAAUGAUUUCUUGAUUUGCAGGUUUACGAAAGAUUUUAGUGUGGAUUCUUAUUCUUUUAUUUUCUGGCAACAAAAUCAUCUAUGAAAUGCCUUAAAAUGCAUGAGCAGAGAGUGCAUGUGAACUGAUUGAGAAAUUUAACCUGUAGAGCCAAUGGCCUUUUUUCAGGGAAAUCAUUGACAGCUGAUAUGUUUCUUUCACCAAUUAUCGGUAUAAAAGUAUUUCAAGUUUCUGAUAAUGUUUCUUUAAAUAUUUCAUGUUAAUCACAUGCAGCUGAUUAUCUGUCUAUGGCCCUACGUCUUAAGGAAGCCGUUGUCAAGUGGCAAUCUUUGAAACUUUCAUUGCUGGAUUUAUGCUUAAAGCAUAAGCUUUAUCUAUUCAAUGGAGGACAAGUCAGAGGUUCCAUCAAUUUCACUUGCACUCUGGUUGGAGAAUAAAGAGCAUUAUGCUAUAAAGCAAGCAGCUAUUUUUAGAUGCAUGGAAGAACAAUAGUCAACCAUUUCCAAUCUUAUUCCUGAAAACUCUGAUGAUGAUUUCCAGCUCUCUCUUGAGGACAACUGGCACCAUAAUGAAGCAGUAUGGGAAGAUGUGAACGCCCAAAUUCUUGUAAGCUAUCUUGAGCUCAAACUUGUUUCUUAAUGUCCUACUCAAGUUUCACCUUAGAUAACCGAAUUCCAGCUUGAUUCAUUUACAGUUUAUAGUUAAAAGAAACGUUGCUUUUUACAGACUCGAAUUCAAAUUUGAGUAAGGAGCUUAGUGAGGCUCGAGUUAAGCUAUCAAAUACAUUUUUUCCAAGCUGUUAAGCAUUUGAUGAGCAACUAGACUUAUUUAGAGUCCUACUCGUAACCAACAUCAAGCCAUGAUUUUCAAAAUCUGGGGCAGAAUUUUUUUUUUUUUGAACAUAAUUGGAUAUCAAUUCCUUUAUUAUCAUUACCAUCUGGUUUAUCUAAUCUAAACUUACCUCCAGCUACUUUGUUUGCAUUAAAUAUGUUCUUUCUCUUGGACUUGGAAUGUGAUUAUAUUUGUCCUACCCUAGUAUUAUUUCAAAUAAGCAUGGAGUUGUUUAGUUGAUAGAUGCAGAAGUGUCAUGUACUCAUAGUGAUAGAAGUGUCAAAUGAAUCAAUCGCGGCACCCUUCGUGCCAUGUCGUGCUGGAUUGGAUAAUUGUGUCGGAAGUUUUAAAUGCUUGGCUCCAAAUACACAACCGUUGCACCCAGAUUUUGUCUUGCCGUGUAAUGCGUACUGACAAGUGGGUCCAUGCUGACUCGUCAUCACUUUAUAAGUCCAAAAUAAAUUUUCGUAGUUUGAAAACAUUAAUUUGAAAACACCAUUAUAUUUAUAAUUAAAGAAUAAAACUUAAAUUGCCAUUCUCGUUGGAAGAUGUAAUAUUUUUGUUUAGCAAAAUAUCCCUCCAAACUAGCUGUUCAUAGCAGUUGGGAAGGGUAUUUUAGGUAAAAAAGGAAAAGGUACUACUAGUUGUUUAGUGGGUUAUUUUGAUAAAAAUACUAUUUUUCAAAAAUAUCCAAUUAGUCAUUGACAGUGGCCGGGGAACUUUGUUUUUGAAAGACGAAAAAGGAAAGGGUUGUGCACUAGCUCGGGUAUGGCACAACCUGCUCAGUUGCCACUCUAUGGGAAUGUAAUGUGGGGAUCAAAACUUUAGCGGUGGUUUAGGAUUUUAUCUUUAUCAAAUCAGUGCAUAUAUAUUUUUUUUGUUGGUAAGUUUGUUUUGUUAUUUUGAAUAAUGUCUCUUUUCUUUUGAACUCUGUUUGUUAUUUGGCCUUAAAAAUAGCUAGACAUGAUAGAUAUGGCAGACUGUUUGUACCCACAAAAGGUUGUCUAUAUGCAUCGAUGACAGUGCUUUCAUUC
Non-coding RNA from Jatropha curcas, 2068 nucleotides. The record is from RefSeq and is a predicted model, not a curated record. Lineage: Eukaryota; Viridiplantae; Streptophyta; Magnoliopsida; Malpighiales; Euphorbiaceae.